GAAACUUAAAAAUUAAAAAUUGCUACCAUUGCCGAAAGGAACCAAAAGUGCUAAUAUCCGGACUCAAAACUAGCCUGAUUUAAUGCAUAAUCAAAGAGGGAGGUCAAUCAAUUAUUUUCUUCAUAAUCUCCUGGAUUGAUGAGAUGAAUAAAGUUCCCUGGCUGUUACGUUUGGAUGAUUUUCCAAUCUGAUUUUAUAAUGACUGUAUAGUUUUAUUCCUUCAGAAACCGAUUUUAUGUGUUGCUUCCUGCGGAUUUCGUUCUUGUGGAUAUGCCAUGAGCGGCAAUAUGGAAUUCCAGAGUCAGUGCGAAUCGCGGUGGAAUAGAAAGAAGACGAUCGGUUUGUAACGUCAACAAAUAUCUAUAACCGACUCAGAAAACCUGAACCGCUUUGCACACGACACCAACUCCCAAAAAAAGGAAUAUGAAUUCGGCAUGUAGGCAUAAGAUAAGCGAACAUCUAGAAGGGCUGAGUCUUGAU
Molecule: long non-coding RNA, 480 nt
Organism: Bombus pyrosoma
Lineage: Eukaryota; Metazoa; Arthropoda; Insecta; Hymenoptera; Apidae
Exons: 3
Source: RefSeq, a predicted model, not a curated record